RNAcentral lists this non-coding RNA (26 nucleotides) under Homo sapiens (human). Lineage: Eukaryota; Metazoa; Chordata; Mammalia; Primates; Hominidae. The record is from RNAcentral.
UGACCUGUAUGAUGAUGUGCUGACAG